This 465-nucleotide ribosomal RNA is filed under the name uncultured bacterium. RNAcentral's name for it is "partial 16S ribosomal RNA". It matches the Rfam family "Bacterial small subunit ribosomal RNA", at positions 28 to 507 of the family's 1533-position model. The record is from RNAcentral.
GACGAACGCUGGCGGCGUGCUUAACACAUGCAAGUCGAACGGAAAGACCCUGCUUGCAGGGUACUCGAGUGGCGAACGGGUGAGUAACACGUGGGUGAUCUGCCCUGCACUUCGGGAUAAGCUUGGGAAACUGGGUCUAAUACCGGAUAGGACCGCACUUUAGUGUGUGUGGUGGAAAGUUUUUUCGGUGUAGGAUGAGCUCGCGGCCUAUCAGCUUGUUGGUGGGGUAAUGGCCUACCAAGGCGGCGACGGGUAGCCGGCCUGAGAGGGUGUACGGCCACAUUGGGACUGAGAUACGGCCCAGACUCCUACGGGAGGCAGCAGUGGGGAAUAUUGCACAAUGGGCGCAAGCCUGAUGCAGCGACGCCGCGUGGGGGAUGAAGGCCUUCGGGUUGUAAACUCCUUUCGCUAGGGACGAAGCUUUUUGUGACGGUACCUAGAUAAGAAGCACCGGCUAACUACGUG